Molecule: ribosomal RNA, 184 nt
Filed under: uncultured bacterium
Lineage: Bacteria
Description: partial 16S ribosomal RNA
Rfam family: Bacterial small subunit ribosomal RNA
Source: RNAcentral
AACCCGACUCCACGAAGUUGGAUUCGCUAGUAAUCGCGCAUCAGCCAUGGCGCGGUGAAUACGUUCCCGGGCCUUGUACACACCGCCCGUCAAGCCAUGGGAGCCGGGGGCGCCUGAAGUCCGGGACCGCGAGGACCGGCCUAGGGCGAAACUGGUAACUGGGGCUAAGUCGUAACAAGGUAUC